GGAGGCAGACAAGGCUAUUCCUGUUUGAUACUUGGGACUGUAGCUGCUGCAAUCCACUCAGGCCCUCAGCUCUGGUCCAGGAUUCUUACUGUGUUGCCCAGGUUGGCCAAGAACUUCUGUGUUCAGGGAAUCUUCCUUCUGGAGCAGCUGUCAGCCUGUAUCACUAUGCCGAAGUGAAAUGUUUUGUUAAGUUAAGGAUAAAUCAACAAUCAAAAAUAAGCUGGGGAACACUUGUAAUGCCAGAAUCCAGGAUGUGGAGGUUGCCAGGAGUUCCAUCAUAUCCUGGACUUCACUUUGUUCUUAGGAAUGACUUACAGUGGAGGUGAAGAGUUCUGGAGAUCCAUAAUGAUAUCUGCAAAAGGACCCAAAGAUACAGGAAACACAUGCCUGCUCAAACUUAGCUGCGUGUUAGACUCCAUGAUGCAGAGGUCACAGCCAGGGACAUGGAUGCCAUCGCUUUAGACUGCAGCCAGGAUGUGGGGUUUUCAACAAAGCUGCCCAGAGGAUUCAACAUGCAGUGUGUUUGAGAUCCACAGACUCAACCCAAAGUUCAUCCUAAAGGCUCCGGAAUGGCAAAAGAUGGUUCCUUUCUAAACACCACUUACCAACUCCCAGAUUAAUCUCUCCCCUUACUCUAAAAAGAGAGUAGGUAUCUAGUGGUUCUUGAGAAUAAUAGAGUUUAAUGUAUAUUUUUUCUCUGAAAUCUAAGGGGAGAGUCUUAAAGCCAUGAAUCCAAGCACACAAUGUCCAAGAGGACACAGGAAAUUCAGUAUUUCCUACUUAAAAUGAGAACUGUUGGUGGAGAAGCUUGGCAGAAUCAGUGCUACAGAGGACCUUCCCUGAAAAGUGAUAUUCUGCUCCGAGACGAACUGUACACAGACAGAAGCGCAUACCCAGUGUCACCUAACCUCUGGGACAGUCCUGGCAAAUCACUUUAGUGCCACCCUCCUCUAUAGAGCACACUAAGUUGUCAGUGAUGGGAUGGAGCUUGACCUAUUGUCAUUCUUUGUUUACUGAUUUUUUUUCCCCCUUCAGUUUGAAAGCAAAGUUUUUCUUCAAAAGGGUGGAUCUCAAUCUAAAACUAUCAUUCAAAAUUCAUUCAGUAUUUCAUGAAGGAACCAAAAUGUCUAACUCACCAAACAAAAACCUUCUACCUCACAACUCACGCUGUUUGGGCUUGGAUGCUGUAGGUUAAAACUCCCAGGUUGUCGAAGAGAAUAACAGAUUUGAAUUAACUCAAGUUCUGUGUCUUGUCUUUGUAAUCCUGGCGAUCACUGUUUAUCCCACAUCUCUUAUUUAAGAGUGUGUCAGGACAUGAGGCCAAAGACAGAGCUCCAAGGACCUUCUGUGGCUCCAAACCCCCACAAGCAUCCUAGAAACAAAUGCACGUAGUCUGUCAUUGCCUUUGUGUGCAUGACCGUGUGUUUUGUAAAUUUAUCUCCGUGUGAAAUAUGUUUGUUUUAAAUAAUAUAAAUGUGCUAAUUUGAAGCAAAUGUACUUACUAAUUUAUUUAUUUGUUAAAAUGCAUUCCUUCAAACACAGGCCAAGUGAUUUGAGGGGUAGGAACAUCUUUUCAUUGUAUGGAUGGCACGUGGUGAUAAUAAAAAGCAGACUGACUUCAGUC
RNAcentral lists this long non-coding RNA (1624 nucleotides) under Mus pahari (shrew mouse). Its description in RNAcentral is "lncRNA (MGP_PahariEiJ_G0005014.1)". The record is from RNAcentral. Lineage: Eukaryota; Metazoa; Chordata; Mammalia; Rodentia; Muridae.